Molecule: long non-coding RNA, 799 nt
Organism: Trichomycterus rosablanca
Lineage: Eukaryota; Metazoa; Chordata; Actinopteri; Siluriformes; Trichomycteridae
Exons: 4
Source: RefSeq, a predicted model, not a curated record
ACAUCUUUAUAGUGGUGGUGCUGCUAAAAUUAUUAAAAUGAAUGAUGUCAAUAAUAUUACACAUAUGUACAUUCGCAGAGCACUUUAUCAAAAACAUUCUAACAGAAACACAGUUGCUCUAAAAACAGCUUAUUCAUGGCAUGAAUUCCACAAGAUGUUAAAAACAUUGUUUGAGAUUUGAGAGUGCAUGAGACAUAUUAAUGGAUUGCACCACCUUAUUCAGAAUGAUUUAGCUAUUUAAAAAUGUUUCAGCAAUGUACUAGUUCCAGUGGCAGCCAAAGAAGUUCCAGAGCACAAAACUCUACCACCACCAUGCUUUACACACAAGAAUCUCUUCCAGCCUGCUUCUUCUUGGUCCCUGUAAUCAGUAACACACUUCAAUCAAUCUUUAAGAAAAGACUGAGUUCAGAGGUGAGAACGUAGCAGAACUGGAGAGCUGGGUCGACUCCUACAUGGACGAACUUCCACCUCUUACCAACUUCAUCCUGCCUGUAGGUGCCAACAGGGACAAUUUUACAUUAGAGUCUAAGUUUUUCAGUUGUUGAUGACAUACUUUUGCCAAAGGGGACUGUUUUAUGGUGAAAGAUGAGUUCAGGAGGAUAACUACACCUGGAGCGAGGGUUUCUCUUGCACUUUUACUUGAAUCUAUUUUUAUUUUUUUACUGCAAGUUUUCAGAAAAGUGUUUAAAAGAUUGAUAUCAUUUAUUUUGUCCUUACACUGUGACACUUUUAUAGUUUGUUUUCCAUUUACAACACGCUGUUUGAAAGACAUUUUGUUCACUGAACUGUAAGUAAAAAU